UACGUAGGGGGCAAGCGUUGUCCGGAUUUAUUGGGCGUAAAGAGCGUGUAGGCGGCUGGGUAGGUCCGCUGUGAAAACUCGAGGCUUAACCUCGAGACGUCGGUGGAAACCAUCCAGCUAGAGUCCGGAAGAGGAGAGUGGAAUUCCUGGUGUAGCGGUGAAAUGCGCAGAUAUCAGGAAGAACACCCGUGGCGAAAGCGGUUCUCUGGGACGGUACUGACGCUGAGACGCGAAAGCGUGGGGAGCGAACAGG
This 253-nucleotide ribosomal RNA is filed under the name uncultured bacterium. RNAcentral describes it as "partial 16S ribosomal RNA". It matches the Rfam family "Bacterial small subunit ribosomal RNA", at positions 524 to 776 of the family's 1533-position model. The record is from RNAcentral.